CCUACGGGGAGCAGCAGUGAGGAAUAUUGGUCAAUGGACGAGAGUCUGAACCAGCCAAGUAGCGUGAAGGAUGACUGCCCUAUGGGUUGUAAACUUCUUUUAUAUGGGAAUAAAAUGUUCCACGUGUGGGAUUAUGUAUGUACCAUAUGAAUAAGGAUCGGCUAACUCCGUGCCAGCAGCCGCGGUAAUACGGAGUAUCCGAGUGUUAUCCGGAUUGACUGGGGUUAAAGGGAGCGUAGGCGGAUUGUUAAGUCAGUUGUGAAAGUUUGCGGCUUAACCGUAAAAUUGCAGUUGAAACUGGCAGUCUUGAGUACAGUAGAGGUGGGCGGAAUUCGUGGUGUAGCGGUGAAAUGCUUAGCUAUCACGAAGAACUCCGAUUGCGAAGGCAGUUCACUGGACUGCAACUGACACUGAGGCUCGAAAGUGUGGGUAUCAAACAGGAUUAGAUACCCGAGUAGUC
RNAcentral lists this ribosomal RNA (460 nucleotides) under uncultured bacterium. Its description in RNAcentral is "partial 16S ribosomal RNA". It matches the Rfam family "Bacterial small subunit ribosomal RNA", at positions 338 to 795 of the family's 1533-position model. The record is from RNAcentral.